GUCGAACGGAAGUCGUUAUAAAAAGGAUUGAAGAUUUAUCUGAUUGAGAUUUUAUAACAAUGGCUUUAGUGGCGGACUGGUGAGUAACGCGUGAGCAACCUGCCUACUAGAGGGGAAUAACAGUGAGAAAUCAUUGCUAAUACCGCAUAUGCCAUGAACAUCACAUGAUGAAAAUGGGAAAAGAGUAAUCUGCUAGUAGAUGGGCUCGCGUCUGAUUAGAUAGUUGGCGGGGUAACGGCCUACCAAGUCGACGAUCAGUAGCCGGACUGAGAGGUUGAACGGCCACAUUGGGACUGAGAUACGGCCCAGACUCCUACGGGAGGCAGCAGUCGGGAAUAUUGCGCAAUGGAGGAAACUCUGACGCAGUGACGCCGCGUAUAGGAAGAAGGUUUUCGGAUUGUAAACUAUUGUCGUUAGGGAAGAUACAAGACAGUACCUAAGGAGGAAGCUCCGGCUAACUACGUGCCAGCAGCCGCGGUAAUACGUAGGGAGCAAGCGUUAUCCGGAUUUAUUGGGUGUAAAGGGUGCGUAGACGGGACAACAAGUUAGUUGUGAAAUCCCUCGGCUUAACUGAGGAACUGCAACUAAAACUAUUGUUCUUGAGUGUUGGAGAGGAAAGUGGAAUUCCUAGUGUAGCGGUGAAAUGCGUAGAUAUUAGGAGGAACACCGGUGGCGAAGGCGACUUUCUGGACAAUAACUGACGUUGA
RNAcentral lists this ribosomal RNA (707 nucleotides) under uncultured bacterium. Its description in RNAcentral is "bacterial SSU rRNA". It matches the Rfam family "Bacterial small subunit ribosomal RNA", at positions 48 to 749 of the family's 1533-position model. The record is from RNAcentral.